GACAGAGGGGGCAAGCGUUGCUCGGAAUUACUGGGCGUAAAGGGCGCGUAGGCGGGAUGGCAAGUCGGUCGUGAAAUCCUUCGGCUCAACCGAAGAACGUCGAUCGAUACUGCUGUUCUUGAGGGUUGCAGAGGAGACUGGAAUUCCCGGUGUAGCGGUGAAAUGCGUAGAUAUUGGGAGGAACACCAGUGGCGAAGGCGGCUCACUGGACCGGUUCUGACGCUGAUGCGCGAAAGCGUGGGGAGCAAACGGG
Molecule: ribosomal RNA, 253 nt
Filed under: uncultured bacterium
Lineage: Bacteria
Description: partial 16S ribosomal RNA
Rfam family: Bacterial small subunit ribosomal RNA
Source: RNAcentral